GACAGAGGCCCCGAGCGUUAGGCGGAAUCACUGGGCUUAAAGCGUGUGUAGGCGGGCCCGUAAGUGUCUUGUGAAAUCCCACGGCUCAACCGUGGAACUGCUGGGCAUACUGCGGGUCUUGGGCCAACUAGGGGCAGCCGGAACAAGCGGCGGAGCGGUGAAAUGCGUAGAUAUCGCUUGGAACGCCGAAGGUGAAAACAGGCUGCUGGGGUUGCGCCGACGCUGAGACACGAAAGCCAGGGGAGCAAACGGG
This 253-nucleotide ribosomal RNA is filed under the name uncultured bacterium. RNAcentral describes it as "partial 16S ribosomal RNA". It matches the Rfam family "Bacterial small subunit ribosomal RNA", at positions 524 to 776 of the family's 1533-position model. The record is from RNAcentral.